Gadus morhua (Atlantic cod) is the source of this 2015-nucleotide long non-coding RNA. Lineage: Eukaryota; Metazoa; Chordata; Actinopteri; Gadiformes; Gadidae. The record is from Ensembl.
UGAUUGUGUGCCUUCUGGCGUAUGUGUGUGUGUAUGUGUAUGCUCUUGCCUGUGUCUUCAAUUGAAUGGCAAUGGUGUUGGAACUGUGUGAUGUCGUGAGAAUAUGAGGGAUGUGAGAAUACGGGGGACGUGAUGAGGGAACGGCUGAGCAUGAUUUGUUCGCCGGUGUGCUCCUUCAGGUCAGGAGGUUCACCACCAGCCACGGGGUUGUUACCACCUGCAGCCAUGCUGCUGCUACUUCUCUCCAUGUUGCACCUUGCCUCAGGGAUGAGCUUCAUGACUCCUGAAGGAGAAGCCACCCAGAGUCCUGGCUCCGCCGGGCUUGGAGGCCUGCUGCACAGCCCCCCACGCAGUAAGAUACAUACCUAUACUACUCAAACUACUAAUACUAUUAGAACCAAUGCAAAAAGUAACACAUAACAGACCUGCUGCACAGCCCCUAAACGGAGUAAGAUAUAUACGUAUAGUAUUCAUACUAGAUCUAAGAUAAUUAUACUAGCUUUGAAGUACUUUACUUAUCCUUGUUAGAGUACUAAUACUAGAUAGCCUACAGUUCAAAACACUACUACAGUACAGUGCACGACUACAUUACAGUACUACAGUAAUACACAGCAAAGUACUACAGUACAGCCCUUCUGAACAGCACAGAGUAUUUCACUAUUGCAUAACAUAUCUACAGUGCUCAGUACUACAUUACAUACUACAGUGCCACAAUACUACAGUACAUCACUCUAGAACUGUACUUCAGUAGAGAGAAUUUCAGUGCUACAUUACAGUACCACUGUACAACAGUAAAGUACUCCAUUAUAGGUACUACAGUAGAGAGUAUUUCAGUGCUACAUUACAGUACCACUGUACAACAGUAAAGUACUCCAUUAUAGGUACUACAGUAGAGAGUAUUUCAGUGCUACAUUACAGUACCACUGUACAACAGUAAAGUACUCCAUUAUAGGUACUACAGUAGAGAGUAUUUCAGUGCUACAUUACAGUACCACUGUUCAACAGUAAAGUACUCCAUUAUAGGUACUACAGUAGAGAGUAUUUCAGUGCUACAUUACAGUACCACUGUUCAACAGUAAAGUACUCCAUUAUAGGUACUACAGUAGAGAGUAUUUCAGUGCUACAUUACAGUACCACUGUACAACAGUAAACUACUCCAUUAUAGGUACUACAGUAGAGAGUAUUUCAGUGCUACAUUACAGUACCACUGUUCAACAGUAAAGUACUCCAUUAUAGGUACUAAAGUAGAGAGUAUUUCAGUGCUACAUUACAGUACCACUGUACAACAGUAAAGUACUCCAUUAUAGGUACUACAGUAGAGAGUAUUUCAGUGCUACAUUACAGUACCACUGUACAACAGUAAAGUACUCCAUUAUAGGUACUACAGUAGAGAGUAUUUCAGUGCUACAUUACAGUACCACUGUUCAACAGUAAAGUACUCCAUUAAAGAUACUACAGUAAAACAGAGGAACACUUCAGUUCAGUGCAUUGCAGUACUGCUACAGCACAGUACCUUAUUACAUGACCACAUCGCUGUAGCACAGUUGUAUUGCCUGAACUGUAUACCCGGGACUGUGAACAACACAAGGUACGACCACGAACCCGACACAGGCGGUUCCUGGGGCUGGCCACCCCCCUGAGACCACCCCCAUCUCCCCUGGAGUGCUCACCACGGCCCUUACCUCAUCCCCGCCCGCCGCGGUUGAGGAGGAGACCACCACAACCUUGAUCACCACCACCACUAUCACCACCAUGCACUCGCCAGGUAACCCACAUUUAAUGUCCCACCAGAGCACUGCUUUGGCAUUAGCUUGCUAGCUUAUUUUCGAGUGUUGCGUUAUUCCUCAACCUAUUCAACACAGAAACAUAUUCUGUUCAUGAAGUAGUUACUUCCUCUACUGCUGAUUUGCUGUUUCUGAAAGCCUAUUUCUCUAUAGUUGGUUAGUUGUGUGAAUAUCAUCCUUUUGUUCACUCACUAAACCUCAGCAGAGUAGUGGGUUUUGUCACUUUACAAA